RNAcentral lists this ribosomal RNA (406 nucleotides) under uncultured bacterium. Its description in RNAcentral is "partial 16S ribosomal RNA". It matches the Rfam family "Bacterial small subunit ribosomal RNA", at positions 30 to 526 of the family's 1533-position model. The record is from RNAcentral.
AUUGAACGCUGGCGGCAGGCCUAACACAUGCAAGUCGAACGAGAGGCGGAAGGGUGAGUAAUGUAUGGGAAACUGCCCGAUGGAGGGGGAUAACUACUGGAAACGGUAGCUAAUACCGCAUACCAUCGGAUGUGCCCAGAUGGGAUUAGCUUGUAGGUGGGGGAACGGCUCACCUAGGCGACGAUCCCUAGCCGGUCUGAGCGGAUGACCAGCCACACUGGAACUGAGACACUGUCCAGACUCCUCCGGGAGGCAGCAGUUGGGAAUAUUGCACAAUGGGCGCAAGCCUGAUGCAGCCAUGCCGCUUGUGUGAAGAAGGUCUUCGGAUUGUAAAGCCCUUUAAGUUGGGAGGCGUUACCAACAGAGUAAGCACCGGCUAACUUCGUGCCAGCAGCCGCGGUAAUAC